UGGGGAAUAUUGGACAAUGGGGGCAACCCUGAUCCAGCAAUGCCGCGUGUGUGAAGAAGGUCUUCGGAUUGUAAAGCACUUUCGACGGGGACGAUGAUGACGGUACCCGUAGAAGAAGCCCCGGCUAACUUCGUGCCAGCAGCCGCGGUAAUACGAAGGGGGCUAGCGUUGCUCGGAAUGACUGGGCGUAAAGGGCGUGUAGGCGGUUUACACAGUCAGAUGUGAAAUCCCCGGGCUUAACCUGGGAGCUGCAUUUGAUACGUGUAGACUAGAGUGUGAGAGAGGGUUGUGGAAUUCCCAGUGUAGAGGUGAAAUUCGUAGAUAUUGGGAAGAACACCGGUGGCGAAGGCGGCAACCUGGCUCAUGACUGACGCUGAGGCGCGAAAGCGUGGGGAGCAAACAGGAUUAGAUACCCUGGUAGUCCACGCUGUAAACGAUGUGUGCUAGAUGUUGGGUAACUUUGUUAUUCAGUGUCGCAGUUAACGCGUUAAGCACACCGCCUGGGGAGUACGGGCCGCAAGGU
Molecule: ribosomal RNA, 523 nt
Filed under: uncultured bacterium
Lineage: Bacteria
Description: partial 16S ribosomal RNA
Rfam family: Bacterial small subunit ribosomal RNA
Source: RNAcentral